AGACGUAGGGGGCGAGCGUUGUCCGGAAUUACUGGGCGUAAAGGGCGUGUAGGCGGCUUUUCAAGUCGGCUGUGAAAUUCCCCGGCUUAACCGGGGGGGUGCAGUCGAAACUGAUGGGCUUGAGUGCAGGAGAGGGUGGUGGAAUUCCCGGUGUAGCGGUGACAUGCGUAGAUAUCGGGAGGAACACCGGUGGCGAAGGCGACCUCCUGGCCUGUUACUGACGCUGAGGCGCGAAAGCUGGGGGAGCAAACAGGAUUAGAUACCCUGGUAGUCCCAGCUGUAAACUCUGGGUACUAGGUGUGGGGGGCUUCGAUGCCCUCUGUGCCGUAGUUAACGCAUUAAGUACCCCGCCUGGGGAGUACGAUCGCAAGGUUGAA
This 377-nucleotide ribosomal RNA is filed under the name uncultured bacterium. Its description in RNAcentral is "bacterial SSU rRNA". It matches the Rfam family "Bacterial small subunit ribosomal RNA", at positions 523 to 898 of the family's 1533-position model. The record is from RNAcentral.